Long non-coding RNA from Carassius auratus (goldfish), 187 nucleotides. RefSeq lists it as uncharacterized. The transcript is spliced from 3 exons. The record is from RefSeq and is a predicted model, not a curated record. NCBI's taxonomy places the organism in Eukaryota, Metazoa, Chordata, Actinopteri, Cypriniformes, Cyprinidae.
GGAAAUGGCAUUUACAUUGUAGAGCUUGGACGAAGUUCACACAGGCUCUGCGCAGGAAUUCAUCAAGGACAUGACUGCUGGGAUUACGAUUGUGGAUGACCAAACUGAGCACCAUCAGUCUGCAGUGAUGUGAUCCAGACAUCCAGUGACAUUAAGGAUGUUGAGAAAGAAAUUGAAGAGGGCAUUC